RNAcentral lists this ribosomal RNA (253 nucleotides) under uncultured bacterium. RNAcentral's name for it is "partial 16S ribosomal RNA". It matches the Rfam family "Bacterial small subunit ribosomal RNA", at positions 524 to 776 of the family's 1533-position model. The record is from RNAcentral.
UACGGGGGGGGCAAGCGUUGUUCGGAAUUACUGGGCGUAAAGGGCUCGUAGGCGGCCAACUAAGUCAGACGUGAAAUCCCUCGGCUUAACCGGGGAACUGCGUCUGAUACUGGAUGGCUCGAGUUUGGGAGAGGGAUGCGGAAUUCCAGGUGUAGCGGUGAAAUGCGUAGAUAUCUGGGGGAACACCGGUGGCGAAGGCGGCAUCCUGGACCAACACUGACGCUGAUGAGCGAAAGCCAGGGGAGCAAACGGG